Molecule: long non-coding RNA, 143 nt
Organism: Etheostoma cragini (Arkansas darter)
Lineage: Eukaryota; Metazoa; Chordata; Actinopteri; Perciformes; Percidae
Exons: 4
Source: RefSeq, a predicted model, not a curated record
AUAAAUGACAUUUUGAUGUUUGAAAGUCUCUAGGUUUUGAAAUAAUGUAAUUUAAAAAAUAUAUAUAUAUAUUCUGUAGCCUAUUUGGCCGUCAAUACUGCCGGCGUUUUCUUUGCUGUAAUCAAAUCAGUAUAUAUAUAUAU